RNAcentral lists this transfer RNA (73 nucleotides) under Ailuropoda melanoleuca (giant panda). It matches the Rfam family "tRNA". Rfam says of the family: Transfer RNA (tRNA) molecules are approximately 80 nucleotides in length. Their secondary structure includes four short double-helical elements and three loops (D, anti-codon, and T loops). The record is from Rfam by way of RNAcentral. RNAcentral also lists the same sequence under 1 other name. Lineage: Eukaryota; Metazoa; Chordata; Mammalia; Carnivora; Ursidae.
GCCUGGCUGGCUCAGCUGGUAGAGCAAGUGACUCUUGAUCUUGGGGUUGUGAGUUCAAGCCCCAUGAUGGGUG